RNAcentral lists this long non-coding RNA (847 nucleotides) under Marmota monax (woodchuck). The record is from RNAcentral. Lineage: Eukaryota; Metazoa; Chordata; Mammalia; Rodentia; Sciuridae.
AGAUAUUUCUCAUUCUUAUUUUUUUGCAUUGUCUUUAAAACCCUGUAUAUUUUCCAUUUAUGGUACCUUUCAAUUAAGUGUAGCCAUAUUUCAAGCGCUCAAUAAGCACACCUGGCUAGUGGUAUUGGAUAGCAGUUAUAGAGUCUGAACUUCUUUUAAAGUUGUCUUUUUACUUAGCGAGGGUUUUAUAAUACUGUACAACAGCUGAUAAAGUGAGAUGUACAAAUAGGUAGAUAGAAAUGAUUAGCUUAUAGUCUUGAAGGAACCAGGGGAGAGGUUUGUAUUGGGUGUGAUAAAUGAAUAUGUAGAUUUAAUUGAAGUUCUGAAGUUAGGAAGCAGGAUGAAACCCUAAGACUUCAAAGAGUAAAGCCUUGGAAAAUUCCUAGAAAAGGAGACUGUUGUAAAACAGCGAAAACCCAUCAGCUGGAGGAGAACUGUAAGGCAGUGGUGCAGUGGAAACCAGCAGGAGGUAAUUUCAAAGAGACAGGUUAAUAGAAGUGCCCCAUGCCAUAGUACAGUGAAGAAUGAAAGUGCACAACUGGUUGGUUUUGUCCAACCUGAGUAGCUAUUUCAGUAAAGACAGGAAAAUCAAGAUGUGUUAAUUGAGCAUUGAAUGGAAGUUGAAGUAAAGACAAUGAACAUCCAUUAUUGUUUUUGGAAGUUUGAUAGGGAUAGUUGGUAAUAAGUAUAUUAUUGGCAGAGGAGAAGGAGCCAGUGAAGAGGACAAGAUUGGAGCUAGAGGUAAAGAAGGAAAAUGAUGGACGAAAUUCCUAGAAAUGGCAGAAUAAAUAGGAUUCAGUACACAGGUAGAGGGUAUAGUAGUGGAAAAAAAAGAGGGACAACCAUG